Molecule: long non-coding RNA, 1000 nt
Organism: Hyaena hyaena (striped hyena)
Lineage: Eukaryota; Metazoa; Chordata; Mammalia; Carnivora; Hyaenidae
Exons: 3
Source: RefSeq, a predicted model, not a curated record
ACGCCUUGAUCUUGGACUUGUAGCCUCCAGAAUGAGCUGGGGAAAGCUUAGUGACAAGAGAAGAUGAUUUCUCCAAGGCCAGAAAGCUACUUCCUGCGACAAUCCGUUGGGGCCCCAAAGAAAGCUGGGAACACUUUUCCCUCAUUGCUUCUGCCUGAGAUCAGCGUCUGCUCUCCAGUCCCCAGGGUUUCAUCUGCUCUGGAAGGGAGCAAUCUCAGGGAUGGAAGGAGGGAGCAUUCAGACCAGGUGCAUCUUGGGGCUGGAGAAUGUCAAUGGAAGUUUCAUCUUCACAGACGUUGCCUUCUAGAAAACAGAGUUAAGGUCAAUCCCUUUGCCAAUGAGUCAACAAACCGCUUUCUUAACCAGGUCAGUACAAUAGCAUAAAGGGCCUUAAGUCACAUCAAGUCUCCUUAGAGAGAAUUUCUGAACUUGUAGAACAUGAGUCUAUAAAUUGGCUUGGACACAGAUUUCACUGAAGGGAGAAAAAGUACAAAAGACUACAAUAGACCCAAGGAUUAUUGUCGUGGCAUUCUCUAGAACAGCUGUCUGGCAAAUGUUACACCACGUCUGAGAUUAUUUUAGAAACUUUGUCUUGGAGAAGAAUACGUAGGGAGAAUACCAGACAGAUUUGCCCCCCCCCUUUUUUUUUUAAAUCACAGAAUAAGAAUUUCAAGGACAUUUGCACCUUCAAUGAGAUCAUCCCGGUCAUGGUAUUAUUUUUUGAAACUUAAAUCAUGUCCCACCUAGUAAAUUUAUAGCCAAGUGUAGUUACAGCAGUGAGGUGAUCCCGAUAGUUAUUUAGGUCUUCCUCUUCCUUUUCCUUAUUAUCAUGAUAAAUAGAAUAUUCUAAACAUGUUUUAUUUCAACCAGUAUCAACUGAAGCCCAUCUUAAAUGAAAUAUGUAUUUAGUGGUGAACUGAUCAAUGCUAUCUACUUUCUUCAGGGCCACCUGACUGGCUCAGUAGGUAGAGUUUGGGACUCUUGACCUUGGGAUUGUAAA